AGUGAACGCUGGCGGUAGGUCUAACACAUGCAAGUCGAACGGCAGCACAGUAAGAGCUUGCUCUUACGGGUGGCGAGUGGCGGACGGGUGAGGAAUACAUCGGAAUCUACUUUUUCGUGGGGGAUAACGUAGGGAAACUUACGCUAAUACCGCAUACGACCUACGGGUGAAAGCAGGGGAUCUUCGGACCUUGCGCGAUUGAAUGAGCCGAUGUCGGAUUAGCUAGUUGGCGGGGUAAAGGCCCACCAAGGCGACGAUCCGCAGCUGGUCUGAGAGGAUGAUCAGCCACACUGGAACUGAGACACGGUCCAGACUCCUACGGGAGGCAGCAGUGGGGAAUAUUGGACAAUGGGCGCAAGCCUGAUCCAGCCAUACCGCGUGGGUGAAGAAGGCCUUCGGGUUGUAAAGCCCUUUUGUUGGGAAAGAAAAGCAGCAGGUUAAUACCCCGCUGUUCUGACGGUACCCAAAGAAUAGGCACCGGCUAACUUCGUG
RNAcentral lists this ribosomal RNA (492 nucleotides) under uncultured bacterium. Its description in RNAcentral is "partial 16S ribosomal RNA". It matches the Rfam family "Bacterial small subunit ribosomal RNA", at positions 29 to 507 of the family's 1533-position model. The record is from RNAcentral.